This 434-nucleotide ribosomal RNA is filed under the name uncultured bacterium. RNAcentral's name for it is "bacterial SSU rRNA". It matches the Rfam family "Bacterial small subunit ribosomal RNA", at positions 29 to 507 of the family's 1533-position model. The record is from RNAcentral.
AACGAACGCUGGCGGCAGGCCUAACACAUGCAAGUCGAACGCCCUAGCAGUAGGGAGUGGCAGACGGGUGAGUAACACGUGGGAACCUUCCCUAUAGUAUGGAAUAGCCCAGGGAAACUUGGAGUAAUACCGUAUACGCCCGAGAGGGGAAAGAUUUAUCGCUAUAGGAUGGGCCCGCGUAGGAUUAGCUAGUUGGUGAGGUAAUGGCUCACCAAGGCGACGAUCCUUAGCUGGUCUGAGAGGACGACCAGCCACACUGGGACUGAGACACGGCCCAGACUCCUACGGGAGGCAGCAGUGGGGAAUAUUGGACAAUGGGCGCAAGCCUGAUCCAGCCAUGCCGCGUGAGUGAUGAAGGCCUUAGGGUUGUAAAGCUCGUUUUGCCGGGGACGAUAAUGACGGUACCCGGAGAAUAAGUCCCGGCUAACUUCGUG